UAUUGUUGUUUCCUUGCUUUUAAUCCAGAGAAAAACUCUGAUUUUGAUUUUCUCUGUUCUCUUUGCCACAGCCCAUCCCAGCAGCAGCUGAAGCAGCUGACUGUCACAACACUGAAUAACACUUUAGGAGGAAUUUCAGAGAGGAGGGAGCAGAUACCAGACGAGGUCACGGAGGUACGGGGAGGAUUCGCAGCAGACAGCGAGACUGCCACGUCCAUGCGAGAGAGCGAUGGCUACGAUAA
This is a long non-coding RNA of Oreochromis niloticus (Nile tilapia), 242 nucleotides long. RefSeq lists it as uncharacterized. Lineage: Eukaryota; Metazoa; Chordata; Actinopteri; Cichliformes; Cichlidae. The transcript is spliced from 2 exons. The record is from RefSeq and is a predicted model, not a curated record.